This 392-nucleotide ribosomal RNA is filed under the name uncultured bacterium. RNAcentral describes it as "bacterial SSU rRNA". It matches the Rfam family "Bacterial small subunit ribosomal RNA", at positions 29 to 418 of the family's 1533-position model. The record is from RNAcentral.
AACGAACGUUGGCGGCGUGCCUAAUACAUGCAAGUCGAGCGAGAAACGGGUAGCAAUACCCGGAGUACAGCGGCGAAAGGGUGCGUAUGACAUGAAGAACGUACCCCACCGUUCGGGAUAACCCCGCGAAAGCGGAGCUAAUACCGGAUACGGCCGCGGCGAUGCCUGUCGCUGCGGUGAAAGUCGCAAGACGCGGUCGGAGCGCUUCAUGGCCUAUCAGCUAGUUGGCGGGGAACGGCCCACCAAGGCAUUGACGGGUAGCCGGACUGAGAGGUCGACCGGCCACACGGGGACUGAGACACGGCCCCGACGUCUACGGAUGGCAGCAGUAGGGAAUAUUGCGCAAUGGGCGAAAGCCUGACGCAGCGACGCCGCGUGGGGAUGAAGGCCUU